CUCGUACCUUUUGCAUCAUGAUUUAGCUAGAAAACCUCAAGCAAAGAGCACUUUAGUUUGAUUCCCCGAAACUACGUGAGCUACUCCAAGACAGCCUAACAAUAGGGCAAACCCGUCUCUGUGGCAAAAGAGUGGGAAGAGCUUUGAGUAGAGGUGACAGACCUACCGAACCUAGUUAUAGCUGGUUGCCUGAGAAAUGAAUAAAAGUUCAGCCUCUCGGAUUCUUCCCUCACCCUUGUCUUCCUCCCCCCUGACAGCCAAAAGAAGCCGAAAGAGUUAGUCAAAGGGGGUACAGCCCCUUUGACACAAGAUACAACUUUUCCAGGAGGGUAAAGAUCACAUUCAAAUAUUAAGGUAAAAUGCUUUGGUGGGCCUAAAAGCAGCCACCCCCAUAGAAUGCGUUAAAGCUCAGACAUACCUAUCACCCCCGAUCCUGACAAUUUCAUCUUAACCCCCUAACCCUACCAGGCCGUCCCAUGCAAGCAUGGGAGCGACCAUGCUAAUAUGAGUAAUAAGAGAGCAUUAGCCUCUCUCCUUGCACAAGUGUAACUCGGAACGGACCCCCCACCGAACCUUAACGACCCCAAACAAAGAGGGCCCUGAAUAACAGACCCGCCAACUAGAAAAAUACUCAGCAAUCAAAUCGUUAGACCCACACUGGUGUGCCUUCAAGGAAAGACUAAAAGAAAAAGAAGGAACUCGGCAAACACAUAAAGCCUCGCCUGUUUACCAAAAACAUCGCCUCUUGCAAAAUUAACGAAUAAGAGGUCCUGCCUGCCCUGUGACCAUGAGUUCAACGGCCGCGGUAUUUUGACCGUGCAAAGGUAGCGCAAUCACUUGUCUUUUAAAUGAAGACCCGUAUGAAUGGCAAGACGAGGGCUUAGCUGUCUCCUUUUUCAAGUCAAUGAAAUUGAUCUUCCCGUGCAGAAGCGGGAAUUCUUCCAUAAGACGAGAAGACCCUAUGGAGCUUCAGACACCAAGACAGACCACGUCAAACCUCCCUGACAAAGGACUGAACUAAGUGGACUCUGUCCUAAKGUCUUUGGUUGGGGCGACCACGGGGAAUCACAAAACCCCCGCGUGGAAUGGGAGCACCUCUGCUCCUACAACUGAGAGCUUCCGCUCUAAUAAACAGAAUUUCUGACCAACAAGAUCCGGCAACGCCGAUCAACGAACCGAGUUACCCUAGGGAUAACAGCGCAAUCCUCUUUUAGAGCCCAUAUCGACAAGAGGGUUUACGACCUCGAUGUUGGAUCAGGACAUCCUAAUGGUGC
RNAcentral lists this ribosomal RNA (1274 nucleotides) under Argyrosomus japonicus (mulloway). RNAcentral's name for it is "partial 16S ribosomal RNA". It matches the Rfam family "Bacterial large subunit ribosomal RNA", at positions 600 to 2556 of the family's 2925-position model. Lineage: Eukaryota; Metazoa; Chordata; Actinopteri; Sciaenidae. The record is from RNAcentral.